Molecule: long non-coding RNA, 974 nt
Filed under: Capsicum annuum
Lineage: Eukaryota; Viridiplantae; Streptophyta; Magnoliopsida; Solanales; Solanaceae
Description: long non-coding RNA (CANN_LNC021596)
Source: RNAcentral
GCCUCUGUAUAUGCAACUUAUUAUCUAUCAUUCAGCUCUGAAUAAAAUUUACAUCAGUGUUUCAUUUGUAGUAGUAAAUACAAUCUAUUUAACAUAAUAAAUUGAAAUAUUCCGUAGCACUUGUAUAGUUUUGCAGCCUUCAUAAGUCAAAACUAGUUCUAAAAGUUCUCCAAGCAGUUAAAAUGAACUGUCUAUAGCUACUUUACAAAAAACAUUUUCCACGGCGGAAAUUCAAUACUUGAUAUUGGUACUGUUCAUCGCAGAAUUUGAAGAAUUUUUGAAAGGACAUCUAAAGAUGAGGUUAUGAAAAAAAUAAAUUAUAUUAUUGAGAGAAAUAGUGAUCUCGUCUAGCUUGCUGAGAGACGCAAAGAUUUGAAACAGAUUCUGAAGACGUUGAUCACCUCAAAUUCAGCAUCUAAUACAAUAAAAGUAUACUCUCUCCGUCUCAUAUUACUUGACAUGUUUGCUCAAAAUAGUUGGCAUGUUUAAAUAACUAAGAGAUAAUUGAACACCUAUUUUCAAUUUCAAGAGGUCGGGGGUUCGAUCCCCUCCUCUGGCGAAUGGAGCAAACUCUGUGGCCAGUUCCCUACCGCUUAGUGCGCUGACAGAGGAACGGAGGAUUAAUCGCACGGAUGCCGGCUGUGGGGAUACCUUGGGAAACCAAAAACAAAUAAUAAAAGAGUAAUUUUACUCAUUUUAUUCACUUUUGCUUGUUCAGUUUAAAAAAUCAAUAUUUCAUUUUUUAUUUACCUUAUAUAAUCAUUCCCAAUACGUUAAAUUUAUUAUGAUUUUUGAGAUAACUAAAUGUAAAUAUCACCAAAGAUUACUUCCAAAGUUCCAUUUUGUAUAACAUAAGCGUCAUAUCUUUCACAUUGGUUCUUUUAAUAUUUUGUUAUUUGUGAAAUUAAGUCUGCAUGAGAUAGGGAAAAAAAUGUGCUUUGCUGAGUUGACAAAUCUUUGUUAGAGAGUUUUUG